GCUGACGAGUGGCGGACGGGUGAGUAAUGUCUGGGAAACUGCCUGAUGGAGGGGGAUAACUACUGGAAACGGUAGCUAAUACCGCAUAAUGUCGCAAGACCAAAGAGGGGGACCUUCGGGCCUCUUGCCAUCGGAUGUGCCCAGAUGGGAUUAGCUUGUUGGUGGGGUAACGGCUCACCAAGGCGACGAUCCCUAGCUGGUCUGAGAGGAUGACCAGCCACACUGGAACUGAGACACGGUCCAGACUCCUACGGGAGGCAGCAGUGGGGAAUAUUGCACAAUGGGCGCAAGCCUGAUGCAGCCAUGCCGCGUGUAUGAAGAAGGCCUUCGGGUUGUAAAGUACUUUCAGCGGGGAGGAAGGGAGUAAAGUUAAUACCUU
RNAcentral lists this ribosomal RNA (379 nucleotides) under Escherichia coli. Its description in RNAcentral is "bacterial SSU rRNA". It matches the Rfam family "Bacterial small subunit ribosomal RNA", at positions 87 to 469 of the family's 1533-position model. The record is from RNAcentral. Lineage: Bacteria; Pseudomonadati; Pseudomonadota; Gammaproteobacteria; Enterobacterales; Enterobacteriaceae.